Scophthalmus maximus (turbot) is the source of this 928-nucleotide long non-coding RNA. RefSeq lists it as uncharacterized. NCBI's taxonomy places the organism in Eukaryota, Metazoa, Chordata, Actinopteri, Pleuronectiformes, Scophthalmidae. The record is from RefSeq and is a predicted model, not a curated record. The transcript has 2 exons.
UCCUUUUUUUUUGUUAGCUGAGCUGGUAGAACACAGUCUGAGGGGCGUCCUGAUACACGGAAACAAGACGCUGCUGAGAAAAAAAUCACCAGAGUUUCACCUCAUGACACACCCUACCUCUGCCUUGUUCAUAGAACCCAUGACGUGAGCUGGCAGGCCCUCGCUGAUCGGCAUGGAAUGACCCCGGAGUCUCACGCAACACCGGAGGACUAGAGGACAGCACACGGCUAACGGCUAACCGCCGCCGCCUCGAGUUCCACAGCCUGGGCUCUCACAUCACGUCUCAACGGAGGCUGCACGUUGCCGCUCCCCGUCAGUCCACGACCUUUCGGGCGCAACUCGGGGCUUCGAUGCCUCUCGCUAGCCAACAGAAGCUACGAGGUUAGCAAACUUCCGCACGGAUGUGAAACGCGUUAGCCGAUCGUCUGAAUUAAUGGUGGACAGCCGUCCAAUGACAACGUUGGCAGUGGUAUUAAUGAACGAUGCGUAAAAAAUAUUAUUUCACACAAAAUGAUUUUAACGUUGAAACGUUUUGUCAGCCGCUGAAGGACAUUGAAAUGAACGCAUCUAACUGCAGCGCUAACGCCGCGCUAUGCUAACGCGAGCUAGCUCGCCUUUAUGCCUCUUCGCAUGCUGGCCGGCGGCCCCGCAUCCGACAGAUAAACGACUGGAUCGUCUUUGAGCCGGAGGUACCUUUCUUCAUAAUAUAUCACCUUUUGAGUUAUUGAUAUUAAUAACGUUACACCGGUUGUUUUUUUUUGUUGAAUCGGGUGUCGUGAAUGUGACUCACCCCCCGGCGAAAAGAUGAAGCAGCGUGUCUUUCUGUGCCAUCUCUCUCUCCUUUCUUUUCACGCAGCCACCAUACUCGUAAUGUUGUUCCUGUUAAAAUUGUCCCAAAGUAAAAAAAAAAAAAAAAAAAAAGAGAGAA